UGGUGGUGGCUUAUCGGCGCC
RNAcentral lists this unclassified non-coding RNA (21 nucleotides) under Chlamydomonas reinhardtii. RNAcentral describes it as "small RNA Cre_3490". Lineage: Eukaryota; Viridiplantae; Chlorophyta; Chlorophyceae; Chlamydomonadales; Chlamydomonadaceae. The record is from RNAcentral.